This 250-nucleotide long non-coding RNA is filed under the name Malus domestica (apple). RNAcentral describes it as "long non-coding RNA (MDOM_LNC020960)". Lineage: Eukaryota; Viridiplantae; Streptophyta; Magnoliopsida; Rosales; Rosaceae. The record is from RNAcentral.
CACCUUGCCGCACCCCCAUACCAUCCUAAUUCCCUCCUACAUCAAAAAUCACAUCCAAAAAACCCCAAAACCAUCUCUGCCGCAGCAAGGAGAAGAAGAAAGAGGAGCUUUCUGUGCAGAUUUCAAAGUGGACUUCCUUGGCAUUUUAGGUGUAAUCUUUCUUAUGUCUUCGAUGUUUCAAUUCAAUAAACUUUGUGUUGUGAGUAUGAGGAACUAAAACCCCUUAGUUGGGGGGUGAUUCGAAACCAUG